This is a long non-coding RNA of Phacochoerus africanus (Common warthog), 828 nucleotides long. RefSeq lists it as uncharacterized. The record is from RefSeq and is a predicted model, not a curated record. NCBI's taxonomy places the organism in Eukaryota, Metazoa, Chordata, Mammalia, Artiodactyla, Suidae. The transcript has 3 exons.
CUUGAAUGCUAUUCUCCUCCUUUCUAGAAAUGCAUUGAUGUAAUAACACUGUCCACCUUAAGGCAACAAGGUACCUACAUACAAAAAUGAUUCCUUAUGUUGGUAUAACACCUGUAACAUUUCAAAGCUUUCUCAUGAUAGUAUUUAAUGUCUUAUAGCUGUAUUAUAGUAGAAAGUCACAGUUUUUAUUGUUCAGCACUAAGAAACUAAAUUGUGUGUACAUUCUUUUUAUCUUUCAUGAUGACAGGUAUUCUAUUGCUCAACCAAGAGAUUUAAUUGGAAAAUAAGAAAUUCCUGGAAUACACUACUUGCCUAAAGCUUUUUCCAUCUAGAGUCAGUGCUUGAGGCUCAAAGCUCUGUUGCUACCUAGAAGCCUCCAUCUCUUUUUCUGCCUUGACAUAGAGGUUCAUCUUCAACUGUGAAUUCUUUGGGUAGCUCCUCUUGUCACCGAGCCUAAUGACUGAUGGCAAAUAAACAGCAGAAAUAGCCUGUCUGUGCUGAGGUUCUGAUAGGUUGUGAUUACAGGCACGUGGAAAAGUGGAGACACAAGGAAUGGCAGGAUAAUUGAUGUGAAGUGCUGCCCAGAAGCUGAGGGAUGAAUAACUCCACCUUCACACAUCUUUUCAGGCCCUUCAGUUCUAUGAUUUGUGCAUUAUAUUAUUUAGCAGAAAUAAUAAAGAACUAAAUAUGCUUUUUUUAUAUGUGGCAUUAACUACCUUUGUGUAUUAAUGUGGUACCUGCCAAUUACUUGCAUUAAAGCAAAUGGCUAAAAUAUACAAAUUAAGUUAUGAACACACAGCUACAUUUAACAGAUUAACUGAAAACCUG